AUUUAGCGAGCUGAGUGGGGAGGAGAGAGGGACAGAGAGCCUGCUUGCUUUAAAGGAGCCAACCAGACAGGAGCCGCUUACCUCUCCUCUCCCGCUUUGCUCCUUUAAAGCAAGCAGGCUCUCUGUCCCUCUCUCCUCCCCACUCAGCGGCUCUUCUC
Molecule: microRNA precursor, 158 nt
Filed under: Podarcis lilfordi (Lilford's wall lizard)
Lineage: Eukaryota; Metazoa; Chordata; Lepidosauria; Squamata; Lacertidae
Source: RNAcentral